ACAUCGGUAGCUCAAUAGGUAGAGCGGCGGUCUCCAAAACCGCAGGUUGCAGGUUCGAGUCUUGUCCGAUGUG
RNAcentral lists this transfer RNA (73 nucleotides) under Rothia dentocariosa. RNAcentral describes it as "tRNA-Trp". It matches the Rfam family "tRNA". Rfam says of the family: Transfer RNA (tRNA) molecules are approximately 80 nucleotides in length. Their secondary structure includes four short double-helical elements and three loops (D, anti-codon, and T loops). The record is from RNAcentral. RNAcentral also lists the same sequence under 1 other name. Lineage: Bacteria; Bacillati; Actinomycetota; Actinomycetes; Micrococcales; Micrococcaceae.